Long non-coding RNA from Octodon degus (degu), 168 nucleotides. RefSeq lists it as uncharacterized. The record is from RefSeq and is a predicted model, not a curated record. NCBI's taxonomy places the organism in Eukaryota, Metazoa, Chordata, Mammalia, Rodentia, Octodontidae. The transcript is spliced from 3 exons.
CAGAGUGCCAGCUCUCUACCAAGAGAAGUGUGCCAGCAAGUCUCCUGUGACCAAGCUCUAUGCCAUUUGAGAAAAAAUGCUGGGGAUUAAACCAAAGGACUGGUGCAUGCCAGAUGUUAAGUGAAGCUUCAUAUACACAAUGAACUAUGAGACAGAAAAUUAUAUUGG